RNAcentral lists this unclassified non-coding RNA (4333 nucleotides) under Megachile rotundata (alfalfa leafcutting bee). RNAcentral describes it as "serine/threonine-protein kinase 11-interacting protein, transcript variant X4". The record is from RNAcentral. Lineage: Eukaryota; Metazoa; Arthropoda; Insecta; Hymenoptera; Megachilidae.
UAAAUUUAUUAUAGACAAUAUGUCAUGGUUAUCAUUGUUUAGAUCCUACGAAAAUUGUAGAGCUAUUAUUCAUUAAAACUUCUGUUACAAGUGAUGAUUGUUUGUCAAGACAUCUUGUAUACUGUUUGUUUUGUGAUAAUAUUACAACUUAUGUGUUCAUUAAUAAUGAGAUAUACAGAUGAUGUACAUGGUGUAUCUAUGAAAUUUUAAGAUUGGAUUAAUUUGGUCACUGUCUCUUGACCCGUAUGAAGAUUAUCAUGCAGGUGCAUCAAAAUAAAUUAUAAAUAUUAUUAAUAUUCUUUAGUCUGUGCAAAUUAAAAGUAUAAAAUAUGAACAAUUCUCAAGAUGUUGUUAAUCUAAAAGAAAUAAUGGAACUUGGAGAAUUGUUACAUCGAAAUGGAGAUAAAAUAUUGAGUGCUUCAAGCAAAUUGUCUUUGUCAUCUACAUUAUUAUAUAAUUUAAAUGAGGCCUUUUUCUUAAUCGUUGAUGAACCUGAAGAUUUAGAGGCCUCGUUUCAAGUAUGCAAUAGCUCAAAAAUCGCCAUAUUCCGUGAUUUGAAAUUUUUACAUGACUUUGUACAAAAGACAGUUGGAUUAAAAGUGACUUAUUGUUCAAAAAGUCCUAAUGUUCCUAUUGAUAUUACAAAAUUUAGGCAUUUAAAAUAUCUGGAACUGAAGAAAAUUAAUAUAGAUUUAGUGAAAGGACUUCAAGGCAUUAGAGGUCAACUUGAAACUGUUAUCUGUACGGGUCAAAAAGGAGUUUGUACCGUAAAACAGUUACUGGCUGCUUGUGGUGGAGAUGCAGGUAUUGGAUUUGUAUGGGAAUCUUUAAAACAUUUAGCAUUAUCUCAUAAUGCUCUUGAAAGGUUGGAUACAUCUUUGGAAUUAGCACCUUGGUUGCAAAUAAUAGAUCUGAGUCAUAACUUUAUAACAUCUGCAGAAGAGUUAUCGUGUUUACCUAACUUAAAAUAUGUGAAUCUUGGGUAUAAUAAACUUGAAACAGUACCUACUUUUAAUAAAGCUGCCUUGCAUCAUUUACAAGUUCUAAUCUUGAAAAAUAAUUACAUAGAAAAUCUAAAUGGUUUACAAAAUUUAGAAAGUUUAACAGAAUUAGAUUUAUCGUACAAUUGUUUGAUGGAACAUUUGACUUUGUGGCCUUUGGAAAAAAUGUCAGCUUUGUUAUGGAUAUCUGUGGAAGGGAACCCAAUAUCAUACCAUCCAAAACAUAGACGAUUAUCUAUAAAAUAUUUACAUCCAUGUUUACGGGAUAGCAAGUUUGUUUUAGAUCGUUUGCCUCUUUCGAAAUCAGAGAAGCAACUCAUUGCAGAAAAUCGUUUUUUCACUAUUAGAUCUAAACAGUCUGCAUCAAAUGAGAUUCUUACUUCAGUAACAAACUCUGUCAGUUCCAACAAUCUAUCUACAUCCGUUAAUGUAUCUACCAGUAAUGAAAUUGUAGCAGGAAGAUCUAUAGAUUAUACAAAUAACAUAGAAAGAAGUUUAUCUAAGAGCAGAAAAAAAUUAAAUGUGAAAGAAGCUGUUAUUGUAGAAGAUGAGCAAGGGAAAAAGGAAUUAAAUGUAAAUUCCAAUAUUUGUAAUUCCUAUUUAGAAACUUCAAAGGAUCAUUUAGAAAUAAAAAAGCAAAUUUUAGCAGUUCGAAAAAAGUAUGAAGAUAACUGGUUAAGUAGUUCUGCUGGAACAUUUGUUCAAGAUAUCAUGGGUUUACAAGUUUCGUCGCGUUCUGUAUUAACACCGGAAUCUACAGUAACAAAUUUAGAUGAUACAAGUAAUGUAUCAAAUAUUCAAGAUCCUACGAUUUUAUUAAUCAGUAAUGCACAAACUGAUACAGAAAAAGGAUCGGAAACUAAAGAGAAUGAUGUGAUUAAUAAUGAAGAAGAAAAUGAAACUAAGGUAUUGAAUGAAGAAGAGAAUGUUUUUGAAGAUUUUAAGGAUUCGAUAAGUACUCGCGUAGAUAUAUCUGAACCUCUUUAUGACUCCGAAGAAGAAAAGGCGGACUUAUAUUUGGUACAAAAGAAGAAAAAUGAUAAUGAAUUAGAAGAUUUAUUCUUAAUAAUAACGUUAAAUGAUAUUAAAGAAAGAGAUGCGCUUUCCGGCAAAUUAAAGUAUUGUUGGUCAACGAAUUCUGUAUUGUCUUGCGUACUAGGUAGAAGUGAACCAGUCACGGUAGACAUAAUUUUUGAUACAACUCGAGAAGAACGUCGAAACAGGAGAUAUUAUGUAGAGCCAGAUGCUGCAAAGAAAAUAGUGAAAACAAUUGGUGAAAGAAUGAAAAAACGACCUAUAUCAUUGAAAGUUUUUAAAUGUAUGAAAUGUUCAACUCAUUUUUCUCAGGAUACGGAAUAUGUCACUGUAAUAAGUUCAUCUGUAUCAAGUGUAAAACAAUUGAAAUGUCCAACUUGUGAAAGUACCCUAGUCAUAGAAACAGAUGAAUUAUCAACUUUAGAUGCAGAAAGUGAUAUUUCCGAAGAUUCAUCUGAAUGUCUGAUUAAAGAUCAGCAUUCCGAAAACAUUGUGAAAACUAAUCUACAACAUUCUGAGUCUUUUUCCAGCAUUGGUGCAGGUGGAACGGAGGGUGGAGCUAUAUCCGUCACCACUUCUCUGGUACACUCCGACUUUCACAUCCAAGCUCAAGUCUGCUGUUCAGCAACCAGUUUGGAAGAAUCACGAGAAUCUACACCAUCUACAAAUACAUUGAACAAGAAAUAUGAAAGCGAUAUUGAAAUACUCAGCAACCCCAGUCAAAGUAGUAUUGAAGUUUUAGAUGAAGCAUCAAGAAUUCAUCUGACACCACAUAGAAAGUAUUCUUCAGAAGAAAGACGUACCGCAGUUGCUCCGUCUCUUUUAACGAUACCAGAUACAGUGCCAAUUAUGACUGGUUUAACCGAAAGUAGUUCUUCAGGUUCUUUAACGGAUAGUAUUUGUACCGCGUACGAAAAUAAGGUAAUUAAGCAAGCGAUCGUAGACGAAAAAUCCCUUAAUAACAGCACUGACAAAGAGAUGAAAUUUACACCUGUAACAAAUUUAACUUCUAUGCUAGGUGGUUUACUUCAAAGCAUAAAGAUUGGUAGUAAUAAAUCAUUAACAUCAAAAGAAGAGGAAGCAUCAAAUUUCUUAGGCAGUAACAUCCAAUAUUCUUAUACGGAUUUCGGCAGUAUAGAUCAUAGAAUAAAGUUGCAUAUUAUUUUGAACAUAUUUGAGCACGAAAACGAGGGACUUAUUCUUCUUCUUAGGGCUGAAAUUCUUAUGCAUAACAUGAAAGAUACAUUUCCUGGUUGUUUAGUUUUAUCCACAUCAAAGGUUUAUGUUCUUAAAAUUGACGGAUUCGAGGGAGAGGAUCCUCAACGUUGGUUACACAAAGAGAUCAGUUGGACAAUGGAUAGAUUAAGAUGUUUUGCACCGCUACCAUUUAAACAGGGGGUUUUGAUUGAAUUAGAACAACCUACAAAAUCAAACGAUGAAUCAUAUUCUACGAUUACGUUUUUAUGCGUUCUACAGGAUUUUCAGAGAACAUCUAAUUUUCUAUUUUAUAUUACUGAUUUGUCGUUACCACCCAGUUGUGAAGUGGAAUUCACGGUACCAGAACACUGUACUACUUUCAUGCACUGUUUAUUAAAAAAUUGUAAGAAUUAUCAAGAUGGGGACACUGUGAGACUGCUUGCACUAUUUUCUUCUGCCUUAUUAAAAUAUCAAGAUCUUAAGGUUGAACUGAAAUUAUCUAGUUUGAUAGUAACUGCAUCUGUUUUGGUAGUAUGCAAUAUGCAGUGGCUCUUACCUGGUAAUAAUGAAAUGCCACAUAUAAUAAGGGAACAAGCUAUGAGCAACUUAAUCGGGAUAGAACAUUACGGUUCGACAUUGACCCUAAACUUCUUAGAUGAGUUAAUGGGACAAGAAGAAUCAUGGGUUUUAGAUUUUAUUUCUGCGAGUGCCGCUGAAACGGUUAUCAAUUCUGUACAACCACCCUGGGAAGAAUUAUUCUCGAUUCCAUUACAAAUCACAACUUGCAAGUCACAAAAAGCCGAAAACGUGUAAAAUGAUAUAUUGUAUACAGAAAAGGAUAUUCUAGUCAAACAUAUGCACCAGCAAGUGUUACAUAUGAAGUAAACAGUUGACAUACGUAUUAAUACAGUUCUAAUAGAGGCAAAAUACAGAAAAAUGUGUACUCAAGAUAUUUUGCAUUGAUGAUAAUAAAGGAUACAAUAUGUAAAUGAAACAGUUGGAAGAUGCUGAAAAUAACUUCUUAGUAUGUUUCUUAAAUGCAUACAUGAAGUAUGCAUCCUAAGUACAUGUUAUUGUUCCAGUGAAUUCUACUUAUUCGU